AUUCAGUGAAUCAUCGAAUCUUUGAACGCACAUUGCACUCUCUGGUAUUCCGGAGAGUAUGCUUGUUUGAGUAUCAGUAAACACCCCAAGUCUCUUCUCUAGAGAAGAGAAUUGGACUUGAGCAAUCCCAACUCUUUGCAAAAAGAGGCGGGUUGCUUGAAAUGCAGGUGCAGCUGGACAUUCUUCUGAGCUAAAAGCAUAUUUAUUUAGUCCCGUCAAACGGAUUAUUACUUUUGCUCUAGCUAAUAUAAAGGUUGAAUGCGCUAUAUGCUGACUGAUGCAGGAUUACCAAGUUUUACUAGCUAAAACUUGUAAACUCGAUCUCAAAUCAAGUAAGACUACCCGCUAAACUUAA
RNAcentral lists this small RNA (355 nucleotides) under uncultured fungus. RNAcentral describes it as "eukaryotic LSU rRNA". The stretch from base 1 to 76 matches the Rfam family "5.8S ribosomal RNA", at positions 79 to 154 of the family's 154-position model. The record is from RNAcentral. Lineage: Eukaryota; Fungi.